GCAACUGUAGCUCAACUGGAUAGAGCAUUUGGCUACGAACCAAAAGGUUGCAGGUUCAAGUCCUGUCAGUUGCA
Non-coding RNA from Clostridium sp. CAG:921, 74 nucleotides. The record is from Rfam. NCBI's taxonomy places the organism in Bacteria, Bacillati, Bacillota, Clostridia, Eubacteriales, Clostridiaceae.